UACGUAGGGUGCAAGCGUUGUCCGGAAUUAUUGGGCGUAAAGAGCUCGUAGGCGGUCUGUCGCGUCGGCUGUGAAAACCCGGGGCUCAACCCCGGGCCUGCAGUCGAUACGGGCAGACUAGAGUGCGGUAGGGGAGACUGGAAUUCCUGGUGUAGCGGUGAAAUGCGCAGAUAUCAGGAGGAACACCGGUGGCGAAGGCGGGUCUCUGGGCCGUAACUGACGCUGAGGCGCGAAAGCGUGGGUAGCAAACAGG
RNAcentral lists this ribosomal RNA (253 nucleotides) under uncultured bacterium. RNAcentral's name for it is "partial 16S ribosomal RNA". It matches the Rfam family "Bacterial small subunit ribosomal RNA", at positions 524 to 776 of the family's 1533-position model. The record is from RNAcentral.